UUUGACAUGUCAAGAACUUCCCAGAAAUGGGAGGGUGCCCUAACGGGAGCUUGAACACAGGUGGUGCAUGGCUGUCGUCAGCUUGUGAAUGCAUUGGUGAUUGGUGGAUUCUGGCGUGGGCCCCUGGUAAGGUGGAAUAAGAUUUCAUAGGCGGGGCUGCCUUUACUUUUUGGCCAUCUCGCACAGCUUGUAUCCCACACGAUCAGGGUUGUAGAUACAUGGUCCUAUGUCCCUAGUCGAGGAGCAAGUGAAAUCCGAUGUUACGAGAAUGUUUUUACUUCUGAGCAUUGAAGCAUGAACUGGGGGGCUAGCCGUGGCGUAGCUGGUCGUUUGCGUGGGGCGUCGUGGUGCAUCGUGCAAUUGUUUCUGAAACCUUAUCCUUAGGGAUUUAAGACAGAUACUAUAUGGCAGCGCAGACAUUAAGUAGUCCAGACUUGAAGUGUCGUUCCGCGACAAAGUGACCGACCGCGUUGUACAUUGUGAAGGUGGUAAUUGUGGUAGUCGAUGAUAUGUGGCACGAAAGACCCUUACAUAUGGUAUCCACGCCUUCGUUGCUGCUGUUGUGCUGCUUCAAAAGGACGGUCAGGAAAAUACACAUGUACACUGUCAUGACGUACACUUCGCCAGCAUGUGCACGUCAUUUAUUAUAUUUGCGAGAACUGCAUGCACACGUCCAUGCAUCCGCUGGCCUCUUAGGAUGCCUUAACCAGCACACAGCUCGGCAAUCCCUGCUGCGUGGGGCUUCGGCCGGCGAACCCUCUGCAACACACAUGCCGCACACGUCCUGUAAUAUCUUUAGCUGUCUAGGCGAAUGAUCUUAACAGAAUAUACUUCCUAUUGGUUGAGCAUAUGCACAUCCCGUUUCCCACUGUCACCUCACGGCGCUCAACACGGAUCCAACAGAACAUUUGUCUCCCAUAAGGUGCACAACGGCAUAAGUCUGCGUUACACCGCACACUCUCCUGCCUUGGGAUGGUUCAGUGCAUUAUUCUUCAAUUCACAGCAAUCCGUUUACUUCCUUGUUUUCGUGGGCAUGCCGUACGGGACGAGGCAGCAAUCGCCAGCAUUGCAGCCGCCGUAGCGUUUGUAACGUGCCAUUACCAUCCAAGGAGGCUUCGGCGCGCAACGGCCGACAACCCCCUCAUGCCGUGGAAUGGGCCACAGCGGGGCUGCCUUUACUUUUUGGGAUACGGUGACAUGCCUGCAAACAAGUCCAUAAAGCCACCCCCGUCCGACCUGGGCUCAGCUGCCUUGCGGCGCUUGGAGACCGGGUUAUUCGCGCCCUGCAGUCAAAAAGAAGAGUAUAAUUUACCACCAUCUAGAGGUGGUUGAGAGGCAGGGGAUAAGCUGGAGCAAGGGCAAUGUGUUCUUGGCGCCCCGAACCGCAGUAACAAGUAGGGUGGGGCGUCCGGGUACGGCAUCUUUUGACAUCCUCGCACCUUCUUCCGCGAGUCGCCAUGGCCAGAGCUGACCUCGACACCACCACCAGCAUCAGCGGUCGUCGUCUGCAGGCCGGUAACAAACAGCAAUCACUCUGCCAUGCAAGGCGAAUGCAGAAGAUGACUGUUUUUUUGGCCCAGGAGAAAGCGUGCCCGCAUGUGCCAUGUCGUUUUCUAACACGUGCGGUUGUAUUUAUUAUCCUCCCAAAUCCACCUUUCGGGUAAGGGCUACGCUGCUUCCCUGACCGGGACCCCCAAGGACAUUGCUAUGUCCAAAGCACUGGCUUUCCACUAAAGGCAUGCGCGCCUUCACCCACGCAUCCGCGCACGUCAUCACAUGAGAACACAUGUAUGGCCCAACACUUCCGUACAGUACUGCUGAGCGUCACAGGAAAGGUUCCGAAAUGCCUCUUUAAAGGUAUUUGGCUGCCGCGAGAGCCACAUACCUGUACAGACAUGCCCAUGGACAUGCCCCUGAACAGCGAAAAACGACCCCCCUUGGUGGCUGCAGGCAUCUGCGAUGGUGCUGGGGCGGCAGCCUCGGCGCCAACCUGCAGAUCGCGAAAGUUUGGAUGUGAGUGGGCGAGCUGUGUAGCUGUAGCACGGGACAGGCCAUGCGGAGCUCACAUAAAGCCGCCACAUAAUGUGAUCCGCCAAUCCCGACGCUCCCUGGUAUGUGCUCACCUUUGGUCGCUUGCUUCCAUGACCCGUUACCGUGACGUCCUGGCUUUGGCUCGGCUCGUCCACCUCACUCUCCGUCGCGAGGUCCGCGAACUCGCCAUACGCCCGUCGCUUGACAGCCGCUUUUCGCACAGCCCCAGGCACCGUGGCUCCAGUUGUCCCCGUCACAGUCGUGGUAGUUUGCGUAGCUGGAAAGCGCGGCGGCGGGGCGACGGGCUUCGGUACCUGGGAACGUGUCAGCACAGAAUGGACAAUACCAUCCGGAGGGGCAAGAGAAAACAAAUCAAGCGGGUUAAGUUCUGAGCGCGGCAAUAUACCUGACAAAUGCAAUUGAUAAGUUUAUGUUUACGGGUCAGCCUGGCUAUCAAAAGGCCAUCAAGCCAAGGGCAUAGCGCCAUCAGGACUUGGGGUCAGUAAGACAGCAACGGAUAGCAGCCGCCGGGAGCAUGCGUUACAAUUUGCCAAGCAUACCAAUGUCUGCAACGAAUACUGCUGUGUGGCAGGUCGAAGAUUCAGAGCUGAAUGAAGCUGAUUACCCAACUUGUCGGGGGGGGUCUGGGGGGGACGUAGCCCCCCCCAGCGCCCCACUCUUAAGGAAUACAUUACGGCGACGCUAGCAAAUUUGUUACUUAGGUCGGAAUAAAUUGAGACCCCCCCUAAAUGAAAAAAAAACACUGAUUACCGGGCGUAAGCACACCAUCCUUCAACGUUUUGGAGAGACACUGAGCGUUGAAAAGCCGUGACCAUAGAGACCCCAGAGAGAGGCUGCAAUCACAUAACAGGCCCGGAACGCAAAUGCGUGCACCCCAAAAUUAUUCAAAGAAUGCAGAGGGUCCAACAUAUCAGCCAGUACAUUUCCCAGUUACCGCACCUUGACCGUCGGAGGCGGCGGCGGCGGCAUGGCCCCUUUGUCCUUUGCCUUGGUAUCGGGGCCGCUGGGAACGUUUCCGUUGUUGCCUCCGAUCUGCGGUGCCAAGGGUUCCCUGGCGCUCGGUGCUGCGACCUGGCUGGCAUUGCCUUUCUUUGCAACCUCAGCGUUGCCGCCGUCUUCCGCGGCGGUAGUGCCCUUGCCCUUUGUUGCGGCUUUCGCUGAAGCUUGAGGCGCGGCAGCCGCGACACCGUUAGACGUAGGCUUUCCCCGCGGUGCACUUGGCUUGGGCAUGCUACCUCCCGCUGCAUCUUUCCCAGCAGCGCAGUUGGGCUUGCUGGGACCCGCAGUGGCAGUCAUGGCUUUAGGCGGUGGCCUCGGCUUCAUGCCGCCGCUGCCAGCCACCUGAUCGGGUUUUACUUCCAGCACAGCUCCACGCGGCGCAGCAGUCGCGGUGCGAGCGUUGCCAUUUAUGGCCUUCUCCCGCGGCUUGGAGGAAAUGGGUGGACCUGUCGCGGCAACCUUCUUAGCUGCUCCAUUCGUGUCCUGCAUGAAUUGUCCAAACGACACAUCACGAUGUGGUGCGUAUCCUUGCCCAGUGGCCUUACAGAAUGACUACAUAUGACAUCAAAAACGACAUGUUCCAACGUGCUUCAACAACAGUACCUGCGCUUCCUGCAGCACUUUUUACGUCCUUUCACAUAUAAAACUCACCUUGUCAUCAUAUGUCCGGGCCGGUUGCCGCUGCGAACCUGGCAUGAGGACCUGGGACAUCGGCACGUCAUCCUGGUCGCCGUCCCCGUCAUGCAGAGGCUUCGCCACGUGCAUGUACUCUUGCCUGCAGAAAGACACAGGGAUUAGGGAAGUGACUCAGUACGACAAGCGCAAAGAUGUCUGCAACACGCUAGGACAGGUGUGUGUGUGUGUUGCUGUCUGCAAAGCUAGAACACGUGAACGGCAGAGUAUGCAAAACGCCGAAUACAGCCCCGGCCCGGACAGGCCAAAGAGCAUUAGCAAUCUCUUAUUCGACCUCAAGAAGGCACUCAGGUCACACUCUUUUCUGUACCCCCUCCGCUUCCCACCCGUCGGUUUCUGUAGUAGGUGGCUCGGCCAUGCAUGCAUCCCCAUCGGCUCCCAUUUCGUCGCGGGCCACAAGGGCAUCGUCCUUCGCAUUCGGUGUGUUGUCGGCCUCAGCACUGCAGCCGCCGCCAACAGCCUUCACAUCUCUGCCGUCUACAACGCCUGCUGGCUGGUGCUCCGCUUCCGCUUCCAGAUCACGCUCCAUCUGGCCAUGUACGCCACGCACAAGCUCGCGUCCCUUCCGCUCCAGCUCCUCCUUCACAUCACGUAAUUGCCACUCGAGCUCACUGCGCAGCUCAUCCGCGGCGUCCUGUAACUUCUUCCGCUCAAGCUCCUGCGCCUGUAGCAAUUCCCCCUCGCGCUGCUGGUAUUCCACACGCUCCUGGUCGCGUUGCCGCUGCGCAUCUCGCACUUCGUCACGCAGCGUCUGCAAUUGGUGCUUUAGCUCCUCCUCCUUAACGACCCAGCCCUCGCCCGACUUCGCAACCUCGGCCUCCAGCUGGUGCCGCUGCGCCUCCCACUCCAGCUCACGCUGUUUGAAUGUUGAGUUCUGUUGCUCAAGCUGCUGCUCAAGCUGCGAACGCAGACGCUUCAGCUCAGUUUCACCAUCCAGCCGUGCUGCCGCUGUCUCCUCACGGACAGCUACCAGCUGCAGCUCAAGGUGCGAGGCUCGCUCACGGGCCGACACGAGUGCGCUGUCAACCACCGAGGAGCCGUCCUCCAGCUCCUGCAUUUAGAUUGGAAGGCUUCAUUAUUGCACACACCGAACCUCAAGUCACAAUAAGGACAACGCCGACGCGCAUCCUUCAGCGAAGCUGGGUACUGUAUGCCACACCGCAUAGCAGCCGUGGUCAAACGUAAGUCGUUUGCGUGCGUAAUACACACAGGAAACACGCUUCGCGCAGCUGUCGAUGCUCCUGUUAAAUAACUGGAUCAGAACGCUUGCAUACGCUUCUGCAAAGUGUCACCUGCAAGCGCGCCGUUAGCCUUUCCAUUUCCUCCUCCAGGACAUGCCGCUGCUUGUCCGCCUUCGCUGCUGCAUCUCUAAGAGACGUCGCGGCCUUGGCCUCGAGCUUUACACGCAAAGCUUCACAAGCUUGCCGCGCGCGGGAUUCCGCAUCAGUCUUCCCAGCCUCGUUCAAGGCCUCCCUCUCCCUAAACGUAGGGCAAGACGACACCGGACGUUGACGACAAGGCACAUCGUACUGCGUAGGACACGACUGCAGCACUGAAAAGCACUUGGCCUGACUGUGCAAUUGUGGUCAUUGUGGCAGAAUCGUGUGACCACCAAACGGGUGCUUUCAACCGUGCACAAGAAACACCCGCCGUGUAGGCCGCCACCGGCGCUCCUGUAGGGCCCACGCGCCUUGCAAUAGCUCGUUGCUGAGUUUACUCACUUUGCCCAUUCGUCACGCUCCUUCUGGUGCUUGGUCUCCAACUGCAUCCGCAGGGCGUUUGUUUCCUCCUGAGCCGCCGCGAGUGCUGCGGCCAAGUCGCGCUCGUAUUGUGCCUUUGGGGACAUGAGGAAACACACACAGCGUCACGCCAACCCGAGGUCCAACUGUCGUACUACGUGAGUGCAGAUGGCUCCCACCCGGCUCCCACGCGAGAUGGGCAGUGCCGAGCUGGUGAUUGAACUCCCACACGUACUGCUUCACAAAGGCCUCAGUGCAGGCUUCCACGCCACAGUGCAGGCUUCCACGCCACGUGCGCAAAGACAACAACAAUCCACAGCUUCCCAGGUACCCUCAACACAAGCAAUCGGCCACCUCCCUGCACACUGCGGAGCCAAUUAAGGCGAGGCAGUUCGGCCUGCUUAACGUAGCUGCGCGGAACUCACACAGGCAGCCAUGGCUACAUCCGCAUAUUGGCACAGGGGGUGUUACGGGGAUGACUACAUCAGAGACGUCCUCAUCGACACAUCAAUAGCGAUAACUACGUCGGCAUCUUAACUAUGUCGGCGGCGCACAUUACGUCGUGACAACAUGGUGUAAAAAUUAUCAACCGUGAACCAUCUUUUCAGGAAUGUGAACCGGCGUGAGUCGACUGAGUAACAUGACCCACCUUGCUCUCUUGCGCCUGCGCCCGGGCUUUACUCCUCGCCUCGGCAACCUGCUCCUUAAGCGCGGAGAUCUCCUCCAACUUGGAAGCUCGCAGCGCCUGCAGUUAGGCGUAUGUGCGAUGGUCAGCAAUAAUUUGACUUCCGAAACUUAGCAAACACAACUAGAAACGGUUUGCACCGCGGCUGGUGAACAAGAGCCCUGCAUUUAGUUGAAUGGCCAAAGGCAUCGCCUCAAAAAUGUAACCACUGCGAUAUGCUGCACCGCUACAGCAACGGUUAUUCCGGAGUAAGGACGGAGACUGACGGACACUGAAACGCUGCUGAAUGCACCUGAAGUUCUGUCCGCAAUGCCUCCUCGCGCUCCGCGGCUCCAUUCGCAGCGAGCGACUCAGCGGCCUGCACCGCGGCUGUUGCCUUCUUCAGCUCCUCAGCCAGCUACACAUGGCAAGCGGGAUGGAAUACACAAAAACGUUUAAAUUUAUAUUAAAUGUGGAACUCUUAUCACAUAAGCUCUCGAGGUCAGCAGAGAGCGGAACAGCGGACGACCGCAGCUUAACAUACCGGUGCCGCAACGAAAAACCGAUCUCCGUUAUCCUUAGAAAUGCCUGCGCACGUACAGCACUAAUUCCUACACAUAUACCCACCAAAGCGAUUUGGAAUUAUGUUUUGCAAUCUCCUUUAACACGCGAUCUCCCAAACCAAAGGUGUAAUAAUUGAGAAGCAAGUUGAACAACAAGAAUGACCUGUUGAAGCGACGGGGCGACCACAAGCCUCGCUAAAAACACACGCACACUUGUGUCAGAUCUACAAACACAAAUCGUGCACAUCGCAUGCUCACCCUCUUCGCCUCGGCCUCGGCCUCAGCGCGCACACGCCGACGCAUCUCAUCGUACUCCCGGGACGUGCGCUCUUUAAAUCGCUCCAGUCGAGCCUCAGCCGCACGCUCAGCAUCACGAAGCCGCUGCUCAGCCGCAGCUAUUGCCGCGCCCGCGCGAGCCGUUUCGGCGGCAGCGGUAGCUUGCGCCGUGGCCAGCGCACUGCUCAGCUCAUCCUAUGCGGGAUGCCAAACAGCAAGGACGAGCAGCAUGUCAAGAAUCCCCACGAAGCAAGCGGGCAGCCACGUUGAACCCUGCCUGCAUAACCAUAGUCCCAUAAUGACGCCUGCUGCGGGACAUGACGAAAGGGUUUUCGUCCAGUCAGCAGCCUCCCCUAGGUGCCCACUGCCUCACCUCCUUUAGACUAGCUCGCUCUCGUUCCACUGCUAACUCCUCCUCUGCUCGGGCUACAUCAGAGACACGAGCUGACAGCUCCUCGCGCAGAGCCGCCUGGUGGGCCGCAUUUAAUACACAUGGGCAGUUAGCCCUCAUUAACACAAGGGGACAAGGGACAAGGGGAAACCCUCGUUAAGCUACGCCUUGCAUAUGCCAGUUUUCACAUUAUGGACGCCUCGAGCUCACCUCCUGCGAGAUUAGCUCCUCAGCACGCCUGGCCGCUUCCACGCCCUCCUGCAUUAAGCGCUGCACCUCGGCGUUCCUACCUGCGAGCUCCGCCUGCACGGCUUCCAGGCGAUGUCCUAACUGCUCGGCCUGCAGACAAAACAAAAGGAUUGGACCACGAGGACUCAGUGGCACCCAACCGAGGUACGCAUAUCGUGGAAUGGACGUAGAUGAACUAGCACAGGAAGUAGGGUCGAUAUGAAGAUCCAAUUCAUUGCGGCAUCGGGCGUGGACAAUCCCCUAGACCAUCCACCAUGCCAGUUGAAACUGCCUUGCGACAGACCUCGGCUGUUGCGUUCUUUACUUCCGACGCGCGAUCAGCCAACGCAGCCUGAAGAUUGGCAAGCUCCUCGUUCAGUCCGGAAGCGGUCGCGUUCAGCGCCUGUCAAGCCAGCGCAAGGGUUCAAGUGAGCGAGUUAUUAACAUGUGAUGGCACGAAACCCAAACUACUACUAGGUAAAACAACUGAAAGGCAUAUGCACAGAUGGGACCCAUAUGAUACCGAGACAUCAAGGUCGGCAAGAAGACAUCUAUAUACUUGUCGGCGCCUUCCCACCUCCGCCUGUGAUUCUAGGUUUUGGAUCCGCUCGCGAGCGACCUUUUGGUCGUUGUGGGCCAUACACAGGUGCUUGUCGAGCUCCGUGAUCCGCUGCUGGGCCUCCUGGUAGCGCUCCGUGAGCUGCGCAGCCGCCUUCGCAGAGCGCGACCUUAUGCGGACAAUCGCAUUCGAGGGAAAGAGUAGGCGCCCUUUGGUCAGUGCUCCAAUCAUCAGGUUGAUCUGAGGGCCCCGUGGCAACCUUCACGUGCGCCCCGUCCUCGUGCAGAUCACACAAUGAUACGGUCACUUCGAGCCAGCUGAUGCUCUCCAUCUGGGCGCGUCCUUACUACUACGGGGGAAAGUAUGCAUUUUGCUUCCUCUUCCUACCUCUCUGCAUCCAGAUCCAGACGCAGCUGCUCGGCGUGGCCGCGUGAUGCUGCUACGUCGGCCACCGCGGCGUGUAGUGAUGCCUGUAGCGACGACGCUUGCACUUCGGCGGCUUUGUCCUUGGCAGCCUGUUUGGCGAUUGUGUGUGCGUAUGCGUGCGUACACCUUGAGUUGCGUUACCUACGAAGGUGUAACGGGCCUAUACGAGCUGGUUGGGUUACCAUUACAGGCAAGUGGGUAACGCAAGUGCGUUAGCAGCAGCAGCAGCAGGCGCCCUUACUGUUGAUGCCCACCUUACCCACUUGCCAUGUAUAGUAACCCACUCGGACAAAUUGCCAGAUGUGGUAUGAGCGUUUAGUGAUGACGACGGGGAAGAACUAAAGGGAUGACCCUGCCGUGGAAGAUGCAGAUGCUCAGGAUAGGGGUUUCCGUACGCAGGUUUCACAUUGCCAUACGCAGGACGUAGCACGCAAGACCCACAGCUCAGUAAUUUAGACAUCAUUUUGUCAUUUUGCUGCCUUUAGCUGCAUCGGCCUAUCUCACUCACCGCAUCCGCUGCGAGCCGUUCCAGCGCGGCAUCCUUGCGUGCCGACUCCUCAGCGGCCUGCCGUAGCUGUGACUGCAAGUUCGAUAUGUGCCCUUGGGCUGUGGGGAGGAAUAAGCAUCAGACGUUUUAGCCUUGGUGAUGCCACCUCUCUGAACAACGAUAUCCGUUGGGUUACUUGGACAGUGCUACAUACACCGCUUCAUUAUCGUUAGGUUGGCAAUAAUGGGAUGCAAGAUGGUACGGACAGCGUGCGAAUUGGCAAAGUGACGCCUGCGGCGACCCAUGUAGUCUUAAUGUCCUUGUGCGACCGGGUCCAUCUGGGUCAGAGGACCCUUGGGAACCUGCAGGUACCGCAACACACACCUAGCCCACCUAGCCACCUAGUCCACCUAGCCCAGCAUUCCGCCAAAAAACAGGUGGCACAUCUUCACAGAGUGCAAUUUAUACAAUUUGCAUUAUACAACCUCCGCACGAAUGCGGGGGUGUCCGUAAUGCACAGAGUAUCCUCUUCGCAGAGACGGGACCUCUCUGUUGGAGAGACUGAUAACCAUGUGAAUUGGGAUGGUAGGUAUAACCCGAGCCCUGCAAUGUACGGCCACGCACCUCGCCGAAGUUCAGCCGCUAGCUGGUCUCUAGCCGCCGUUACAGCGUGCGCCGCCAUUUGUGCGUCGCCAAUAUCGCGGUCUUGUCCGAGCGCCUUGACAUCCAGGUCGCGACGGUAUUGAUCGACUUCGUUAAUGGCACGAAACAACGUUGAAGCACCAUCGCAAAUGGCAGUAGGGGAGCAGAAUGGGGGAGCAGAAUGCCCAUGAGGUAAAACGUACUACAUGGGAGAAAUACGGAGCAGUUGGCCACAGUACGGCCGCAGUACACAAGAUGCUCUUAUGAUUCACCAGCAUGCCGUCGACGUUUUGAUUACGGCGCACUUACAGACAUUCUUUGCCACCUAGUGUUCAGCGUGUGUACAGCUACAUCUGUGGUGCGUCCCUUCAUCCAGAGCUGCGUACCUCGGCCAAUGUCAUACUUAGUGCCCUCGAUGGAGUUCCGGAUGCUGUCCUGAAUCGCCGUCACGACCUUCAUCUUUUCGAUAACGUAGUUCACUUGAGCCUCAUCUGCGUAUCAGAUGCACAGCCAGAUGUCCAGAGGUACGUACGGAGCAGCAACCACACGUGGCCAUUGGGAAAUUAUAUCAUGGGCCCUAUCCGUGGAAGCUUCUGCCGUAACCACUGCGCGCCGUGCGUGGGCAACUGAACGAGGUCAUACACGUCGUUUCGAAUACUCGCUACAAUCUGAAAUCCGUGUAACCAAAUUUCAAUUAGGAUUAUCGUUGUCGCCUUUCCGGCACUGAUUAGAAAUAUGAAUCGUCUUUGGAUUUAAUGCUGUGUGGUACUGCCCUGGUAUGCCUCGACCGUCCGAAGGGCAAGACUUUUAUGCUCAGAGAACGCGCGUACCGUCUUUGGCCUUGGCGCGUAGCACAACGUUUUCUUGCCGUUCGCGGGCCAAUUCCUGCUCCUUGCGAGCCAGUGCCGCCUGGACCUCCGCAAGCUUCUCGCGCUGCGAGUGCAUAUAGCAUGACAUGUAGAAAGUAGGAGGAUUAUUGAUCUUCACCAUCACACUUAAUUCUCGCGGCCUGCAGAUACUUUGGGUGUGAUCGCAUCGUCUCCUAGUGCGUGCCGCCGCGCCUAUCCACCGUACCGCACACAAGCACGGAGCGACGGAGGGAUGCAAUCGACAUUAUAAUCUGGGUCAAGGUGGUGUUAAUAAUUACAGCUUAAACCUGCCCACACCGUGCCGUUCAGACUCAUGUCUUGCCCUAUGCUGUCGAGUGAUGCGACAUCGACAACGCCAUGCCGUCAUGUGCUUACGAGCCGCAAGUUAGAGCGGGGUCCUUACAUAUGUUGUGACGUCCUGACGUGUAUUCUCAUUCUCCUCCGUCAUCCGAUCUGUAUAAGCAGCGUGGACUGUGUUUCAGCAAAAAAAGAAAAUUUUGUAGUGUUCCAAUGCACAGGAUCAAGAUUUAUAGCUUUAUUCUUCAAAAUAAGUAAUAUUCCUUGAUUUAUCCAGCCAACCGGCGCUCGCAAACUUACAGGGUACAACUAAUAGGAAGUCCAAGUCUCACCGCUAAGACGCUUCAGGUGCUCCAGGACCGCCCCCGCGUUCCCUGUAGGCGGAAGGUUGAGGCUACCAUUGGUAUGCCCGGCUGGAAGUAGCCUUUGGCGAAGGCUUGCGCCGGUUCCGGGCGGGGGCGUUUCUAAAAGCAGGGCAGGAGACCUGAGCCCGCUGCCCUGCCCAAUAGGCUUCAGGGACAAUUGUUGCGCGUUCAUUUUUAAAUGCUAUGGUAGGAAGCAGCUGUAGAAUGAAGCUUAGGCUGUCGCCACCUUUUCACCACGGUGCUCUCCCGAAAGAUGUGGGCACUUAGUAUACGUUAUAAAUAGCAAGGAUCACUGAUGCUUAUGCUAAACAUACAUCUGUAC
This 11572-nucleotide long non-coding RNA is filed under the name Volvox carteri. RNAcentral's name for it is "long non-coding RNA (VCAR_LNC003747)". The record is from RNAcentral. Lineage: Eukaryota; Viridiplantae; Chlorophyta; Chlorophyceae; Chlamydomonadales; Volvocaceae.